Molecule: long non-coding RNA, 1272 nt
Filed under: Sus scrofa (pig)
Lineage: Eukaryota; Metazoa; Chordata; Mammalia; Artiodactyla; Suidae
Description: lncRNA (ENSSSCG00015002925.1)
Source: RNAcentral
UUAGAAAGCACACGUUUUCCUCUUUCCACUCACUCCACGUUGCCUAAACCGCGGUUUCCUCUUCCCGGCGGCGCUGGGACUGAGGCAGCUGAGGCGCGCUCCGCUCCCGGGAACCUCGGGCCUUGGCGCGCCAUUUUCCGUCGCGCAGUUAGUUGCCGGGGAGUCCUGAGACCUUUUGAUCGGGUCCCUUUCGUCUCUAGGCCCCUCGGCGAUCUCCGAUCAGACUCACCCACCAGAGCACCGCCACAAAGGUCCGGGGAAGAAACCUCUCACCUCCCUGGAGUCUCAGCUCAGCGUUUGGGAAGGAACCGUUUAAAAACCCAGGAGCAGAAUAAUCUUGGGGAGAAGGGAAAAGCAGUUGUAACAUCCCCACGUGGCAAUAAAGAUGAAAACCUCGUGAAGUCCUGCUCGUCUCAUCAACAGGUGAUCGAAGGACAUUCACGAUCUUGGUGCAAAUGUGUUGGCGCUGUGGGACGAGCGUCGUUGGACAACUUUCAAACCACAGCGCCAGGGCAGCCAAGCAUCCUGACGACCGGAAGUGCCUGUGGGGAAGCUGGACUUGCACUUAGAUUGCACUUGGAGACCUCCAGCCUCCUCUAACCCAGGCCUCUUAAGGAAUGUGAAUCAAUAAGUGGCAUAAAUUAUUCACCUCAAGGAACAUUCUCAGAAAUGAAUGUCAGACUGGAGAAAUCGCCAGCAGGGUAUUCGCUCUUUUCAGUGUUUGACUCUCGGUUCACCUUCUGAAUGGCUGGGCCUGUCUAAGCUAUGAAACAUUCAGAUCUCAGAGAAGAAUGAUGACUCUAAGUUGUGCUGAGAUUUCAAGGCAACUCUGAGUUUCCUUUUCAGCCUCUUCCGCAGGGUCAGGGAAAGAGCGUGUGGGCACAGUGUCAUUGUGGGCAAUGCCAUAGGACCCCUCUGUGCCGUGAUCUCAGGGUCUGGAAAGGACCUGUCCUCUGUUCAAACAGGCCUUUUCUCCUUGCUGGCUGAGAUAUCAGAAAUUCAACCCCUCUCUUAAAACCAUUCUGAGGGCUUUGCCUCUUUGGAAGGCUCCUUUCAAACUGCAAAGCCUCAGGAGGGGAGGAGAGGAAAAUUAAAAUGUAUUGAACACCUUCUGGGAUUUUUUUCAUUGUCAUGCAUCCUCCCCCACAAAAUAGAUAUGCUUUGCAAACUUGCUUUGUUAGUUUUUUCUUUUAAAUUGUUGGAAGUUCCUUUCCAUACGCUGCAGGUGUGGCCCUAAGAAAACAUAACAAAUAAACAAACAAAAAAGACACA